GUCAUUAUUGUUUAAAGAGAUAUUAUCUAGUCUGUGCAGUAUUUAUUUAAAAUAUGCUAAUUUUUGUUAGUGAGAAUGACUAGAUUGAUAAGUUAUAAUAGCAUAAGUUUCCGUAGGUUUUAUAUAAUUAUUAAUUUUAAAUCUAUUAUUGAUUAUUUGGUGCAUGGUUAAACUACCGACCCGCAAAAGUUAUAUAAGUCCUGCUCGUGAACGCGACACGGCAGUUAAGCAGUUCGCGGGCUGUAUUCAAAUUUAAAAUGUGGCGGUUUAAAACAGGACGUUACAAGGUAAUUAAUAUCACAAUAUUAGUA
Cinara cedri is the source of this 311-nucleotide non-coding RNA. The record is from the annotation of a GenBank genome assembly. NCBI's taxonomy places the organism in Eukaryota, Metazoa, Arthropoda, Insecta, Hemiptera, Aphididae.